AUUUAAUACUCUUUCAGAAGUCAGUACACAAAGAUAAAUUCAUUGAAGCUGAAUUGUUCAUUACAGGAUUUCAAACAGGUAAAGUUUCCAAUGUCCAUUGCCUCCCAAUCAUUCCAUGGUAAUAAAGAAGCUCAAAUUCCAGACGCAAGUGACUAAUUCUGCAAACUGCAUAUGAGAAUACUCCCUUUACUUUCCAUUUAUGUUUUCAUAAAAACAACAAAAGAAAACCAACAUUAUUCUUAUGAUUCACACAGAUCCCUACGUGAAGGUUUCUUUAAUGUGUGAAGGAAGGCGACUAAAGAAAAGAAAAACCUCCACCAAGAGGAAUACUCUUAAUCCCGUUUACAAUGAAGCCAUAGUCUUUGACGUCCCUCCAGAAAACAUUGACCAAAUUAACUUGUCGAUAGCUGUUAUGGAUUAUGACCGUGUAGGUCACAAUGAGGUCAUUGGAGUAUGUCAAGUAGGCAACGAUGCAGAAAGUCUAGGUCGUGACCAUUGGAACGAAAUGCUCUCAUAUCCUCGGAAACCCAUUGCCCACUGGCAUCCUCUUGCAGAGGGCCCUAUUCAGCAGAAAUGUUAUGCAGGUCUUCUGCGCUUGGAUGGCUGCCGAAGAGGCUUCCUCACCCUUUUAACCUAUUCAGCAGAAAUUUGGCAUUCCUGUUGAACUCUUUCUUAGCCAUUUCCUCAGGGGCUAUUCCACAGAGUCCAGUGGGGAAUCAAGUGGGGGAGGGUGUCCAGCGCAUCCAGGCUGUGCAGAGAAAUAUAUACACAGCAUAUCGUUUUGGUUCCUGAAUCAGGAUUAGGCUCAGCGAGAGUUCUGGAACCUCUGUGGCCACAACCAUAGGACCCUGAAUAUUGCUGAAUAGAACCCUCAGUCUUCAACUGUGUGAAGAGCUAUUGGUUUCAAGUAGUGCAAUAUUAUCCACUUGUAGCAUUAGUUCUCCAGCUGACACUAUUGCUACUGAUAGAUUUUUUGUAUGGUCAUAAGCAUUAUACAAAUUUAAGUCAAAUGUUUUGCUCAUUAGAAUAACCCAGGUUUUACAAGCAACAUGACAGCAAUGAAAAUAACAGAUAUUGGAACCAGCUUCAAAUAUGAUUAUUGUAUUUGCAAAGGAAAAAAGAAGUGCAGUAUUGUAAACGUAAAGCUAUGUAAGUCAUUUUUUCCCAAGAAUGCUUGUCAUCAGACUUUUGAUGGUGAGUUUUAGCUUUCAUCUCUGUGUCUCCUUUCACCUUACAUGAAAACAAGACUAAUUCACUCCUUUGCAGAAAUGCUUGAAAUCCUUCAAAGCUGUAAAAAGUUCUGUUGGGUGAGAACAAGAUACAUACAGUGCUUGCAAUGACAGUGUGUUCUUUUAGAAAGAAGAUAAAGAUCUGUAUAGUAUAGAGACUGGGAGCCCUCGGUGUUAUUAGAUGAUUUUCCAGUCACUGCUUCUUUGUUGUGUCCAUAACACUGCGAAGGGUUGGAAGAAUCUCACAGGUGGCUUUCUUUCAUCAUACACAUAAGCACACACAUGCUCAUGCACACACACACAUCAUUUUAAAAUGCCACUCCAAACCUAUAUAAUGCCUGCUAAGACUAUUAUUUGUAGUAGAACUAACAUUGACAGGGCUAUCUUAAAUGAUUGUAUAUUGUAAAUGCUAAUGAAUUCUGACCAUUAAAAAAAAAAAUCAAAUCAAAGGACUGAAUUCUUUCACAUAAUGAACUCUAGGUCCUGGAACAAUAGUCCCUUGGACUCCCUCAUUAUUUAUCCGUGCAUAGGGUUAACUCUUUCUUAAAUUUUUCAUAGAGAGACUUUGAAUCAAGUUUUUAAAUCUUUAUCUUAAAAAGGCAAAUGCAAAUUAUGUGUGCGUUAUAUAGUCUAGUUGCCUACUAAACACAGGUAGGUAACCCUUGUCUUUGUAUAUACUGUUCAGGUAAGUUUAUGCACAUGAACAUUGUUUUGCAUCUUGUAUGCAUUAAAUGCUCACCAGUCAUUUUCAGUUUCUAAUUGAGCUGACACAUAUGUGAUUGUAUAAAUUCAAGAAAAUAUUUGCAAUUUUUAUUAAAAAAAGUUUUAUAACUUGUUAUUUGAGGGUCUUCCAGAAAACCAGAAUUGUUAACAGGUAAAAACACAGUUUAAUGUUUGCAUUAAAAUCUUGGAUCUGUUCUAAAUGUGUAGUGUGGCUAUAAAGCAGAAGUCUUAAAAUUAUGGUUGUUAUUAAAAAAUAAUAAAAUCUCAUGCUAUGAAGAAAAUAGCUAUCACAUACAAGGACAGUCCUGGCAAACUCAACAACUCUUCAAAGCCUGCCCAAGCAAAAUUUCAGAUUGGUAACAGGUCAUGUCCAGAACAAAAAAAAAUACAAAGUAGCCCUAGCAAAGGUAUUUCAAUACACACUCAAGUGAAGCCUUAUGUCAGCAGACCAGUGAUAUAAUACAGUGCUCAUAACUGUUCAAGUAUGAUCCUCACUUCAGGCAAAAUUCUGCACUCUUUACUCAGGCACAUCUCCCAGGAGCCAAUGUGGGAAGAUACGCAUGAACAAAGGAGGAGGAUCUUUUCCUUGUAAAUGGAGAUCUUUGAUUUCCUAGAUAAAUCAGCAUAGAUGCAAUCCCACUUGGGAUACAAAGCAGGUAGCUGCAUGCUUUCCCACUGCAAUCGCUAUUACCAGGGCAAUGUUAUGAACAGUAGCUUCUGUAAGAAUGAGAAGAUCUAUGCAGCUAGUUCACUUUGUUUCCACGGAACAGAGCAGAAAUCUUUCUCAGAUUUGCCUCAAAUGACUCAAAAGGGCAUCAGCAGAAAAGUAGUGUCAUAAUUGUUAAUGUUUUUUAUUUUAUUAUCAUUUCAUUUAAUGCUCAAGGGGCUGGCAUCAGGAGAAUGAUUUUGAAAACAGUUUGAAAUAUUUCUAUUACAAAGAAAAAAAAUAAGAAAGAUUUUUCUAUUUUUUUUAAUUCUCCUAAUUCUUGCUCUGACUCAUGACUUACAGGCUGUAACACAGGCUAUGGCAUUGUUCUGUGCUUUAUAAAAAUAUCUGCCUUUUCAUAACAGUGCAUAAGUGGAACAGUAGCUGUUUUCUGUGCUUCUCUCUCUUCAUCUUUUGACUCCACUUAAUCUAUGCUACUCCCUAGACCUUCAAUAUUCCCAUGUUACGGUUCUGUUGAGCCAGGCAAUAGCAGUAUCGGACGUAACAGAGCAUCUUACUGCUAGAAUACCAGUUGGAAAUGCACUACUGUGAUCCCAGUACUGAUCACUCUUUUCUGAACUAUAAUUCCCAGUGGUGAAUUAGUAGAACAGCUUAUAAGAAUAACUCCAAGCCUCCAACCUUCAAUUUGUUUUACUUCCUGUGAAGACACAAUUAUGCUAUAUCACAAGUAAAGUAUUACUAAAACAAAAAGGGAAAUCCCCUAGAAAUGCAUCUCAGCAAGAUUUUAAUCCCACUUUACUCAUUAACAAUAUUCUAUUAAACUCUUAGUUUUCCAUAAGAAGCCACAAUUUCAGACAGAUUUUUUAUGAAAAAAAGUGAGAGCUUUUCAAGGUUCUGACACUGAGGCAGACUAUAAUGGGUUGUCGUGUGAAAUUCCAGAGCUAAAACACUCACAAGCACAACCCUUCUGCAGCUAAAUGUUGAAAUUCCUUUAUUUCCACUCAAGUCACAAGGUAUUAAAAGCAUUUGAGGUUUUUUUUGUGUCAUUUUCCUCUGUAAAUAAUUCUGGCAAUACACCAACCAUACAUGGAUUGCAACCUGCAGAAGCAGGGACUAGAAGAAAAAAAAGCAAGCAUAGAAAAAAAGAUCCACCUCCCAUACUAUUCCUGCCAGUCAGUACACCUCUGCAUUCUAUACCAGCUGAUGCAUAAGACAGCAAACAUAUUAUAUAGGCGGGCAAUGUAGCUACCAGUAGCAGAACUAGUACAACAGCAAAGGGCAACAGAAAAGAAUGAGAAGAUUAUCUUAGUUUAAUCUAUUUUUGAUUUAAGGAGUAGUUGAUAUGUUUUUUCACUUUUUAAACUCCAACCAUUAUACAAAGCUGUAUCAACACUUAGCACCUGAAGGUAAAUUUACAGUUUUAUCACUCAGCAGUGUUAGAGCAUUAAGGGGACUUAUUUGCCAUUAAA
Non-coding RNA from Meleagris gallopavo (turkey), 4088 nucleotides. The record is from RefSeq and is a predicted model, not a curated record. Lineage: Eukaryota; Metazoa; Chordata; Aves; Galliformes; Phasianidae.